GAGAGUAGCUGGAUGCACUAUCGGGUUUUAAAUCAACAAAAACGACCUCCCUACCCUAAACCUUAAACCUAAACCUAACCGAUAGUGUCCGAAAAUCAACUCUGAGAUUGCGUUAUUUUAUGGUGCUUCAGUGGCACAUUGGGUUCACGUAUGGACUUUACAUCACGAGUGCAACGCUCUAUGACUCAAACAAGCUUGUAAAUGCAGUCGAUGAUGUCAUGCAUUACAGUAAAAGUGUUUAGAUGUCAUAAGAUAACAUUGUGUGAGGAAACAGGUGAAAAGUAAGUGUUUAUGAACUGAUAAUCUGCCAGUUUAUGUGAUUUAUGUGAUUGUUGUUGUAGCACCCAUAGUGUUCAUUCAUCAAACUGACGCUAUACGUACAAUGAGCCACGUGAAAUUCCUUUUGCAAAAAUGUAGGUAUGGUAAAUGGUCUGCACUUAUAUAGCGCCUUUUUAACCUUAACGGUAUUCAAAGCACUUUCACCCAUUGCAGCCGAGCUGCCAUGCAAGUUGCUAGUCUGCCAUUGGGAGCAACUUGGGGUUCAGUGUCUUGCCGGGGUCAAUGGAAGUCAAUGGAGUCAAUGGAAGUCAGUGGAGGUCAAUGGGGAUCAAUGGAGGUCAAUGGGGGUCAAUGGAAGUCAAUGGAGGUCAAUGGGGUCAAUGGAAGUCAAU
Long non-coding RNA from Xyrauchen texanus (razorback sucker), 671 nucleotides. RefSeq lists it as uncharacterized. NCBI's taxonomy places the organism in Eukaryota, Metazoa, Chordata, Actinopteri, Cypriniformes, Catostomidae. The transcript has 3 exons. The record is from RefSeq and is a predicted model, not a curated record.